Molecule: long non-coding RNA, 1721 nt
Organism: Syngnathus typhle (broad-nosed pipefish)
Lineage: Eukaryota; Metazoa; Chordata; Actinopteri; Syngnathiformes; Syngnathidae
Exons: 2
Source: RefSeq, a predicted model, not a curated record
UCCACAAGGUCACUUGUGUGUAAAGGUGAUGAAUUCAAUCAAUUGUCUUCAUUUUCUGUGUACUCAAACCCUCAUGUUCAUGUUUUCAAAAUAUGGCGGUUCUGACACAAACAGCAACAACACUUAGCGUGAGCACACGAUUGCGAAAGCCACCACCUGACGCUUUCUUAUGUGGCGAGGAAGGACUCCGAGCCGCUUCCAAACAUUCCGGAUAGAUAUUCCGAGUCGAUAAACCCCGACCGUAUCGCAUUACAGUAAUGAGUCGGCAGUCGGAGGCAUAGUUAAGAGUAAACGGAUGUGAAGUGCGCUGACGCAGCAGGAGGAACGUCAUUACCGCUGCCGCCACGACAACACAACUGAAGUCUUCUCAAGUCUUCAAUCGUCUCCAAAGUCUUUCAUGCGUCAGAGCGCGAAACACACCUCGUAACCUCCGAUGAAAGUGCCCUGGAAUCAAACGCCGUGGACUGCUCAGCCCCCCUACCGCUUAACCAGCGGCAUCUGAGGAACCCGCCCUGCUAUCCUAAGCUUUCUUCUGUGUGGUGAACAAAAUCCCUUUUCUCACCGCGCUGUGCUGUUCCCUACGAUUGGGGCUGCCAUUGGAAAAUAAUUUGUGAAAUACCCGAGUAGUCUUCAAAUUUACCAGAAUCCGGUCCUCGGUUUUACCACUCUUGGUGUCGAGCUUAAUCCCGCAAAUGAACUUGAUGGUUGAUUUCUCGAUGAUCUUCUUGAUGCUGUCUGUGGAUGAAAGAGACAAAAAGAUGUCAGUGAUGUCAGUAAAUGAAGUUUUUAGAUUGUGGGCCCAAAAAGUAGUUUGGAUUGGCACCCCCCUGUAAUACAAAGGGGAGGGGUGAGCAGUGUGACACAGAACCACCCCCUCAAAAGUAAAUUCAGAUGUUCCAGACAGAAGUAUUCAACUGAGAGCGAUGACCUUGUGCCAGCCUACAGGAAGGCUCAGCGCCCCCCCUACCCCCACUCCGGCGCAGCCCGCCCCCUUUUGCCAGGAGGGUGUUUUGAAUGAAGUGAUGCUUGAUUCAAUCAUCACAGUGCGACUCUAAGAGCCAUUAGGAGUAAUUAACACAGCAGCAGCCAAUGUGUUACAAGGAUUCCAAAAUUUAGAAAAGAGCAUGGAGAUGCAUGGAACAUCUGCCUUCGAGCACCCCUCCCUCCCUUUUUCACGCACUGGAUGGCAGAAAAGAAAAUCCCACUUAAACGGCUUCCAAUCAGCUGGAAAUCUAAUCAAUUGUUUUCAUAUUAUCUUACGCUCCCCCCUGCCCUUUUAAAAGCCAAUUUUUAGUCCGUGUAGAGGUCCUUGAAUGUUCUGCUGAAUGUUCUCCCGCUGCAUGCAUCUGCACAUGCAUGCAAACAAGAUGUCACACGUAGCAAACUGCGUGUUCGGAGGAAAGGAGAGGAGAAAAGAGAAGGGGGCGCGGACGACAUGCCCGAUUGAGCCCGCAGUGAGUCGGAGGAGGGCGGGGGAUGGUUUGGGACGCAGAACCACAAGAAGACCCACCUGUGAUGUCCUUGUUCACACUAGCAAAGCCAAAAACGGUGAUCUCUCUAGCGGCCAUGACUGCAGCGGCUGGCUGCCCUGCUCCUGCUCCCUGUUCCUGCUCCUUCUCUUUUGUCUUCCUCCUCUGAUGGACGCCCUUUUGUUAUUCUUCCUCAGUCACAGACAAAAACAAUGGUCGCACUUGCAGGCAUUCCUGCAGCGCGUACGAGGU